Molecule: long non-coding RNA, 3059 nt
Organism: Oncorhynchus tshawytscha (Chinook salmon)
Lineage: Eukaryota; Metazoa; Chordata; Actinopteri; Salmoniformes; Salmonidae
Source: Ensembl
CCGAGAACCUUCUAGAGCCACAUAACUCACCACGCACUAUUGACCUGAGCUCUAGAACAGGUUUCCUAAGUUUCAGAACUCUAGGUCUGAUGGUUCUUUAAUAGUUUCAACAAAGGUAACUAUUGCAGGCUCUGUUUGUCUCUACGCACCACACUGUGUCCCUCCGUCCAAGCUGUGUGUGUGUGUGUGAGUUUUUCUUGGAAAUCUUAUUCGAGACAUGACUUAUUUACAGUUCAUGAGGGUUGCCUAAUCGCACAUAUGAAGUUUUGGAAAGAUCUGACUUUUUUAACCCUUCGAAACAGCCCCUAUGACACCAAUUAUGGCACUUCCGGUUGGCACAGGAAGCGAAAAGUAAAAAUAUCCUCAUUGGGGUAUGCUUUUACAGAAUCCUGUGUUAUAAGUCUUUGCGUUAAGAACUGACUGAUUUACACAGGGUUGAAUUCACUAUUUCUAUCAAACAUCAGGUUGGGUAUGGAAAAACACUUUUAGGGUGAUUUUAACCACUUCCAGUUGCUCCAGGAAGCUUAGAAUCGACACAGGUAGACCUCAUAGUGGCCUGAUGGAUUGUCAUCGAAGACCGGUUCAUAAGACAUUCAUAACCCACAUAGGCUUCAGGUUGAAUUUAGGGGUGCAGGCAAUGUAUUCCUAUGGGUAGAGAAGUCAUUGAAAACUGUUUGGUGAAAAAAAACUGUUUUAACUGUUAAGGGUUAAUGCCACACGGUCAAGUUUAGGCUUGCACAGAUCGGGAGGACCUUAGGAACAUUCCUGUGGUUGAAUUGUCCUUCUAAACCUAACGGUUCCGCCGCUGUCACCCAAAAGCAAAUGACGUUGUGUGGCAUGGUCGCUGCGCUUAGACCGAGUGAGCUACGGUCAAGCGGGGCAUCUCGUUGAAUUCGGCACGGCCUAGAGAUUAUGAUGACAUUGCAGGCUCUGAGUUUCUUUCAGCACUGCACUUUGUCAGUCCAUCCUUGCUGUGUGUGUGUGUGUGAGAGAGAGAGAGCUUUUCUUUGACAUCUGUAUUCUAGGUGAUGUAGUGGUGUAAUAAUGUGUUGUAUUGUAGGUGAUGUAUUGGUGUAAUAAUGUGUUGUAUUGUAGAUAUGUAGUGGUGUAAUAAUGUGUUGUAUUCUAGGUGAUGUGGUGGUGUAAUAAUGUGUUGUAUUGUAGGUGAUGUAUUGGUGUAAUAAUGUGUUGUAUUGUAGAUAUGUAGUGGUGUAAUAAUGUGUUGUAUUCUAGGUGAUGUAGUGGUGUAAUAAUGUGAUGUAGUGGUGUAAUAAUGUGUUGUAUUGUAGGUGAUGUAGUGGUGUUGUAUUGUAGGUGAUGUAGUGGUGUAAUAAUGUGUUGUAUUGUAUGUGAUGUAGUGGUGUAAUAAUGUGAUGUAUUGUAUGUGAUGUAGUGGUGUAAUAAUUUGUUGUAUUGUAUGUGAUGUAGUGGUGUAAUAAUGUGAUGUACUGUAGGUGAUGUAGUGGUGUAAUAAUGUGUUGUAUUGUAGGUGAUGUAGUGGUGUAAUAAUGUGUUGUAUUGUAGGUGAUGUAGUGGUGGAAUAAUGUGUUGUAUUGUAUGUGAUGUAGUGGUGUAAUAAUGUGAUGUACUGUAGGUGAUGUAGUGGUGAUGUAGUGGUGUAAUAAUGUGAUGUACUAUAGGUGAUGUAGUGGUGUUGUAUUGUAGGUGAUGUAGUGGUGUAAUAAUGUGUUGUAUUGUAGCUGAUGUAGUGGUGGAAUAAUGUGUUGUAUUGUAGGUGAUGUAGUGGUGUAAUAAUGUGUUGUAUUGUAGGUGAUGUAGUGGUGUAAUAAUGUGAUGUAUUGUAUGUGAUGUAGUGGUGUAAUAAUGUGUUGUAUUGUAGGUGAUGUAGUGGUGUUGUAUUGUAGGUGAUGUAGUGGUGUAAUAAUGUGUUGUAUAUGUGAUGUAGUGGUGUAAUAAUGUGCCUUAAGGCUCAGAACAUUCUUAGUCAAAGGUCAGGAAUUAACAGUGACCCAUUAAGCCAUGCAGAGACAUUCUCCAUCAGCAUGCCAGCUUUCCAUGUCAAAUUUGUCCUCAUUCAGUGCUGCCAGACAAAAAUGCAUCCAGUUACACGUUUUUUGAUGUUGUGGCUAUUGUAAUCGACUCUAAGGCAAGUGGGCUCAGACACUGAAAACGGUAUGUUUUUCCAGGCAAAGGUUCCUCUCUGGAUUGUAUAUAUACAGCUCUUGCGAUUAUUUUAGGGGAUGUGACAAAUGUAAAAAUGUCCUUAAGGUUUAACCAGACUUUUUUCUCUCUCAUUUAAUCAUUUGUAAUAAAAUCAUAGGAUAACGUGAAUUCAAAAUUCAGAUACGAUCGCCUAUGACCACUAGGGGGCAAUUCAUUUCAAUGUACCGUUGUCUCGACCACCUACCAGCUAGAUGGCGCUCACCUUACUGCUGUCCCCGACCCACUCAGCAACAAUGGUAUUAAUGCCGAUUUAGGUUCUCUGUUGUGUUCCUUUCCUCCAUGUUCUCAGUGGUCAGUACUUCUCAUCAAGGUAUCAAGGUCGUUGCAGUGAUGUAUGACAGCGUGUUCAUAACAAUCUGUUGUUAACGCGCUUUGUACUUGCAGAGCAAUCAUUGUACAAUUUCUCCAUCUGGGCCAUCACAGUCUUGUAGUCUGGUUCUAGAUAUGCCAUCAGGUUAUUGAAGCCGACGUCUAUCCGCAUAACAACUGCAAUCAUGUAAUCAGCUCUGUGGUUUUUCUCACUCUUUUUUUUCUAUUUUUCCGGGCAAGUCAGUUAAGAACUAAUUCUUAUUUACAAUGACGGCCUUGGAACAGUGGGUUACCUUGUUCAGGGGCAGAACGACAGAUGUUUACGUUGUCAGCUCGGGGAUUCGAUCUUGCAAACUUUCGGUUACUAAUCCAACGCUCUAACCACUAGGCUACCCUGCCACCCCAAAGCUCUAACCACCAGGCUACCCUGCCACCCCAACGCUCUAACCACUAGGCUACCUGCCGCCCCAACGCUCUAACCACUAGGCUACCUGCCGCCCCAACGCUCUAACCACUAGGCUACCUGCCGCCCCAACGCUCUAACCACUAGGCUACCCUGCCACCCC